CCUACGUGAGGCAGCAGUGAGGAAUAUUGGUCAAUGGGCUUACGCCUGAACCAGCCAAGUCGCGUGAGGGAAGACUGCCCUAUGGGUUGUAAACUUCUUUUCUCAGGGACGAAGCAAGUGACGGUACCUGAGGAAUAAGCCACGGCUAACUACGUGCCAGCAGCCGCGGUAAUACGUAGGUGGCAAGCGUUAUCCGGAUUUACUGGGUGUAAAGGGCGUGUAGGCGGGAAAGCAAGUCAGAUGUGAAAACCAUGGGCUCAACCUGUGGCCUGCAUUUGAAACUGUUUUUCUUGAGUACUGGAGAGGCAGACGGAAUUCCUAGUGUAGCGGUGAAAUGCGUAGAUAUUAGGAGGAACACCAGUGGCGAAGGCGGUCUGCUGGACAGCAACUGACGCUGAGGCGCGAAAGCGUGGGGAGCAAACAGGAUUAGAUACCCUUGUAGUC
This 444-nucleotide ribosomal RNA is filed under the name uncultured bacterium. RNAcentral describes it as "partial 16S ribosomal RNA". It matches the Rfam family "Bacterial small subunit ribosomal RNA", at positions 338 to 795 of the family's 1533-position model. The record is from RNAcentral.